UGGACGCAAGUCUGAUGGAGCAACGCCGCGUGAGUGAAGAAGGUUUUCGGAUCGUAAAGCUCUGUUGUUGGUGAAGAAGGAUAGAGGUAGUAACUGGCCUUUAUUUGACGGUAAUCAACCAGAAAGUCACGGCUAACUACGUGCCAGCAGCCGCGGUAAUACGUAGGUGGCAAGCGUUGUCCGGAUUUAUUGGGCGUAAAGCGAGCGCAGGCGGAAAAAUAAGUCUAAUGUGAAAGCCCUCGGCUUAACCGAGGAAUUGCAUCGGAAACUGUUUUUCUUGAGUGCAGAAGAGGAGAGUGGAACUCCAUGUGUAGCGGUGGAAUGCGUAGAUAUAUGGAAGAACACCAGUGGCGAAGGCGGCUCUCUGGUCUGCAACUGACGCUGAGGCUCGAAAGCAUGGGUAGCGAACAGGAUUAGAUACCCUGGUAGUCCAUGCCGUAAACGAUGAGUGCUAAGUGUUGGGAGGUUUCCGCCUCUCAGUGCUGCAGCUAACGCAUUAAGCACUCCGCCUGGGGAGUACGACCGCAAGGUUGAAACUCAAAGGAAUUGACGGGGGCCCGCACAAGCGGUGGAGCAUGUGGUUUAAUUCGAAGCAACGCGAAGAGCGUUACCAGGUCUUGACAUCUAGCGCCCAUUCGUAGAGAUACGAUGUUCCCUUCGGGGGACGCUAAGACAGGUGGUGCAUGGCUGUCGUCAGCUCGUGUC
Molecule: ribosomal RNA, 705 nt
Filed under: Lactobacillus sp. oral taxon 461
Lineage: Bacteria; Bacillati; Bacillota; Bacilli; Lactobacillales; Lactobacillaceae
Description: bacterial SSU rRNA
Rfam family: Bacterial small subunit ribosomal RNA
Source: RNAcentral